RNAcentral lists this long non-coding RNA (4205 nucleotides) under Sparus aurata (gilthead seabream). Its description in RNAcentral is "lncRNA (ENSSAUG00010024970.1)". Lineage: Eukaryota; Metazoa; Chordata; Actinopteri; Spariformes; Sparidae. The record is from RNAcentral.
UGUGUAUAUAUGUAUAUGUAUAUAUGUCUAUGUAUGUAUGUAUGUAUGUGUAUAUAUAUAUAUGUAAAUAUCCAUAAGGAUAAUCAUAAAACUUAGCUCUUUAUUCAAACGUUUAACUAGACUUUACAGUGUUACAGUCUGGAAAUAAAGCAGGGAUCACAGCCUGAUCUGAAUCUGUUCAUCUUGGUCCAUUUAUGUAAAACGAGUCUGUAACAUCUCCACAGUAACAAUAAGAUAUAAGUCAACCUCUGAAAGUCUAACGUUUGAAAGUGAAGCUUUUAACGCUUUACUUCCAAAGGCAUCAAGCUGAGAAUUACCAACGUAUUUUACCUCGAAAUAUAUGACUAUGUUUUACUGUAUAUACUAUAUAUACCUUCCUUCCAAGCAGAGAGAUAUUUUGCAAAUAUUACUGCAAAAGUGGGUCCUCAGUUAUUAGUAUACAGAGAAAAUGGACUGAUUCACUCGUGAUAUUAACCCUCCACCUCCGCCAAUAGUAGCUCAGACAUUUCAAACUAAGAUAAAACUUUAUCUACAAAACAGAUCAAAGUGAGCCACAAGUCCACAUCUGAACAGCAUUUUAGAAAGAAAAAGAGUGGCGUGGUGUAAUUGUGCACUAUAACAGCAAUGUAACAGAUACAGGAAGUACAGUGGGUUACAAACCACAAAUUGACUAUUACCUGGAAAAAAGCUAAAAGCUUUCAAAACAUGUGCAGAUUUAACGGAACACAAAGCAGGAUGAUGUACAAACCUUGAGGCAAGUUCAGAAAAGUGAAGGAAUUCCACAACAUCGCUGACACAGUGGAGCAGCCAAUCAGUGCAGUCGUUAACGUUUCAGCCAAUCAGAGCAGACCCAUCUCCUCUGCACUUGAAGGGCGGAAGAGAGCUAGGAUUAGAAGGAAUCAUGGACGGAGGUGGAAUAACAAGCAGUCAGGAACCUGAAGAGGAGCCUCAGACAGCAGGACCACAGCAGCAGGUCUCGUCUGACUGCAGCCCUCCAAGCAAGCAGUGUAAGAGGACCAAGCACAAAUGUCCCAUUUGUGGGCAACUGUAUGCUGACAUUAUCCAGCACCUGAGAAGCACGGAAAAGGUGGUCAAUAAAACAGAGCUCCUUCUUCUGAGCAAGACUUCUCAUCGACAUUUUAGGACAAAUCUGGACUGCCCAGUGCAUCUCUGCAAGUCCAAACAUAUAAACCGACUAGACAAGCAUCUGCAAAAGAUCCACCAUCUGAAGAACCCAAUGGUAAGCCUUUAUAUAGAAAAAGCUAAGGACAGGUACAUCGCGAGAGAACUGGCCCUCCUACGUGCGUCGAAACCCGUACCACCAAUGGUGUCUCAUCUGGACGAGGUCGAUGCUUCAGCCAUAGAAGAGGGUGUCAGGAGGGUGAUAGAGGCCAGAUCACAAGCUGCAGCGUCUGCCACUGUGCCUCCUCUUUCGGGCCCCCUCCGCAGUUCUCCCCCUGCCAGCCAGGCUUCCUGUGACCCAGAUAGACAAGCUCCAUCAACCAGCCAGGUUUGUGACCCAGAAACUGUACCAGCUGUGCAGGAUCCUUGCCAACAGGCCAAGCGAGGAAGAAGGCACUCUGUCGUGAGCACCCCUGAUCCUGGGUGCAGGAACUGCCAGCUUCUGUCUGCUGAGCUAAAGGUGGUGAAGGACCUGCUGGAGAUCGAAAUUGAAAGAAACGAUGAGCUGAAGCAGCUCCAUUGUUCCACAAUGCGUGCAACUGCAGCAAAACAUCGCAGACGUGCACCAUUUGACCCCAGCAAAGCCCCUCGCUAUGUAAGUUUGGUCGAGGAAUUUAGGAGCCACACAGAAGGUGCCAAUCCCAGUAGAAAAACUUCGGACAAUGCCAAGCAGCGAGGCAAACAUGUAAUCGAUUUUCUAAAGUACAUGGCAGAGCCAGGAUCCCCAAGUGUUGACCUUCUCUUCCUGCGUGACCAUGCUAGAGUCCGUGGUUUUGUUGAAGUCCUUCAGGGAAAAAGAUUUACACCAACCACUCAGAGGAGUUAUUUAAUGGAUGUUGUGGCCUUUUUGAAAUAUAUUUCAAACAUGGCCCCACUAGCCGUCAGAUUAGGAACGAAAAGAAUCAACUGCAUCCUGGUGGAGCUGAGGGCCCGGCUCAAAGACAUUGGCCGGGAUAUUGUCAGCCACCAGCUAAGUGUGAGGCGAAGGAAAUCUGAGAGACUGGUCAAGGCAAAGACACAUUCAAGGUUUAUGCAUGAGGCCCCUAAGAGGAUAACUGCAGCACUGGUUGAGCUUGAGAAGCAUCCAGAGGACAGAGGAUCUCUUAAAGAGUUUUUUGGACUGCUGGCUGGGUACAUAAUUUCCACAACAGGCCACCGAAAGGGUGUUGUUGUUAACAUGACAACAAAGGAGGUCAAUGAGGCUGAAAAAACUACGCAGGGUGCCCGCAUCAUCCGUGUUGGACAGCACAAGACUCAGAGACACUUUGGUGAAGCAGCUGUACCCCUCAAUCCAAGUGAGUAUUCCUGGCUGCAGCGUUACAACCUGCUUCGACACAGCAUCGAAGGAGGCAAAGAGGCUUCAACCUUCUUUCACACGACCAGUGGAGGCGUUCUGCUGAGGCUGUCUGAAUAUUUCAAGGAGGCCUGGAAGCGGAUGGGCUUGGGGACACCCCCAACUUUCAACAUGCUUCGCUCCUCUGUUGCCACUUAUGCCAAGCGACACUUAGGAGACAGCGCAUACAAGAAGGUGGCAACAUUCAUGUGUCAUGAUGCCUCUACGGCCAAGAGAUUUUAUCACGCGGAGGACCCAGCAGAGGUCACGCUCAAAAGCAGAGAGUUGUCAAUGAUGGCAAUUUCCUCAUAUGCUGCGAAUGAGGGUAAUGCAGAACCGGAUCCUGAAGAGGACGAGGAAAAUGUGCCAAAAAGGACUUACCAGCUGCGUGAGAGAAGGACAUCUGAUGGGACAGAUAAACAGGAGGUCGAGUUCCCUUUCCAAAAAAGAGAGUGGUUGAGUUCUUCUGAGGGUGAUGGCUCUGCAGAUGAAUGGAAACCCACACAGAAGGAAUUUGAGGAUGAUUCUGAAGAAGAGGAGGAACAGGUCAUACAAAGCGUUCACACGGUGGCCAAAAGAAAGAGAUCUGUCCUGCAAAGAGAAGAAGAGUGCUCCUCUGGUCAGAAAACUACACAGGCGGAAUCGGAGGAGGAUUCUGAAGAAGAGGAGGAACAGGUCACACGAAGGGUUCACAAGAUGGCCAAAAGAAAGAGGUCUGAGAGCCCUGUCUGGCAAAGAGAGAUGCAGCCGGCUUUUGUAAGCCCAGGAACAGCAAAGAUGUUGACAACGCACUCAAAAAAAGUCAAUAUUGGGAAGAUUAUUUUCCACAAGUCACCCCUCUAUGAUGUCACCAUGCCAAUAUCUGGUGACAUCAUCAAACACCAGGCGGGAUCCACAGUCGGACAGAUGAUUCCCUUAGGAUCCGUGGGAGAAACAGUCUCCAAAGAGUUGCUGUUGGAGAAUGAAAUUUCAGUGGCAGACACAACAUUCGACAAGAACCUGUCUGAAGGAAGGGCGGGAGAAUAUAAAGGACAAGAAAAAGAAGGUGAAGUGGAUGAGGGCUCUUUAGAGAAGUCAAAGACUGAAGGUGAAGACAAAAAUAAGACAGAAAAUAAGAUAAAAGAAGGACGAAAUACAGAGAAAGAGACACAGGAAGACUCUUUUGAGAAAAUAGAGAGUAAGAGUGAAAAAAUAAAGAAGAGCGAAACAAAGAUUCAAGAGGAGUCCUUGGAGAAGAUGGAGAGUAAGAAUGAAAAUGGAGAGAAGAGAGAAACAAAGAUUCAAGAGAAGUCUUUGGAGAAGAUGGAGAGUAAGAGUGAAAGGGAAAGAAGGGAGAAACAAGGAUUCAAGAGAAGUCUUUGGAGAAGAUGGAGAGUAAGAGUGAAAAGGGAAAGAAGAGAGAACCAAAGAUUCGAGAAGCUCCUUUGGUGAUGACGAGUAGUAAAGUUAAAGGAGAUUCAGGAGUAGAGCAAAGAAAGAUGAGAAGCAUGUGGUGAUGAUGAGGAGUAGGGCUAAGAAUUGCAAAGGAGAAAGCUAAAAGAGGAGCAUUUGGAGACGAGUGAGAGGGAAAGUGAAGAAGGAUCAAGUGGAACAGCACAAACCUGGAAGUCUUUGGAGAAGAUAGAGGGUAGAGUGAAAAGGGAAACAAAAUAGAAACAAAGAUUCAAGAGAAGUCUUCGGAGAAGAUGGA